Molecule: ribosomal RNA, 307 nt
Filed under: uncultured bacterium
Lineage: Bacteria
Description: partial 16S ribosomal RNA
Rfam family: Bacterial small subunit ribosomal RNA
Source: RNAcentral
AGACAGCAGCCGCCGCGGUAAUACGGAGGGGGCUAGCGUUGUUCGGAAUUACUGGGCGUAAAGCGCACGUAGGCGGCUUGGUAAGUUAGAGGUGAAAGCCUGGAGCUCAACUCCAGAAUUGCCUUUAAGACUGCCGAGCUAGCAGGUGAGAGAGGUAAGCGGAAUUCCGAGUGUAGAGGUGAAAUUCGUAGAUAUUCGGAAGAACACCAGUGGCGAAGGCGGCUUACUGGCUCAUACUGGACGCUGAGGUGCGAAAGCGUGGGGAGCAAACAGGAUUAGAUACCCCGGUAGUCCCUGUCUCUUAUAC